RNAcentral lists this ribosomal RNA (365 nucleotides) under uncultured Glomus. RNAcentral describes it as "SSU rRNA". It matches the Rfam family "Eukaryotic small subunit ribosomal RNA", at positions 569 to 941 of the family's 1831-position model. Lineage: Eukaryota; Fungi; Glomeromycota; Glomeromycetes; Glomerales; Glomeraceae. The record is from RNAcentral.
GGCAGCCGCGGUAAUUCCAGCUCCAAUAGCGUAUAUUAAAGUUGUUGCAGUUAAAAAGCUCGUAGUUGAAUUUCGGGGUUAGUAGGUUGGUCAUGCCUCUGGUAUGUACUGGUCUCACUGAUUCCUCCUUCCUGAUGAACCUUAAUGCCAUUAAUUUGGUGUUUUGGGGAAUUUGGACUGUUACUUUGAAAAAUUGAGUGUUUAAAGCAAGCUAACGCUUGAAUACAUUAGCAUGGAAUAAUGAAUAGGACGUUCGAUCCUAUUUUGUUGGUUUCUAGGAUUGACGUAAUGAUUAAUAGGGAUAGUUGGGGGCAUUAGUAUUCAAUUGUCAGAGGUGAAAUUCUUGGAUUUAUUGAAGACUUAAC